UAGGGAAUCUUCCGCAAUGGACGCAAGUCUGACGGAGCAACGCCGCGUGAGUGAAGAAGGAUUUCGGUUCGUAAAACUCUGUUGUUAGAGAAGAACAGCGCAUAGAGUAACUGUUAUGCGUGUGACGGUAUCUAACCAGAAAGCCACGGCUAACUACGUGCCAGCAGCCGCGGUAAUACGUAGGUGGCAAGCGUUGUCCGGAUUUAUUGGGCGUAAGGCGAGCGCAGGCGGUCAAUUAAGUCUGAUGUGAAAGCCCCCGGCUCAACCGGGGAGGGUCAUUGGAAACUGGUUGACUUGAGUGCAGAAGAGGAGAGUGGAAUUCCAUGUGUAGCGGUGAAAUGCGUAGAUAUAUGGAGGAACACCAGUGGCGAAGGCGACUCUCUGGUCUGUAACUGACGCUGAGGCUCGAAAGCGUGGGUAGCAAACAGG
This 429-nucleotide ribosomal RNA is filed under the name Bacteroidota bacterium. Its description in RNAcentral is "Bacteroidetes bacterium partial 16S ribosomal RNA". It matches the Rfam family "Bacterial small subunit ribosomal RNA", at positions 355 to 776 of the family's 1533-position model. Lineage: Bacteria; Pseudomonadati; Bacteroidota. The record is from RNAcentral.